GUCCCAGCACGGGCUCGCCACACGGAUUACGGAUUGUCAAGGUGCCUUUGAACCACAAACUGUAACCGGAGCCACCGCUGCUCCUAAUACACAACAACAACACCGGUUAUUUUACUGCCGCCGCUGCCCCAUCACGGGACACGGACUACCAAGUCAUCUUUAAACUGCAAGAUGACACAACUAAAAAACCCGGUUACUGCUGUCCCCACUACGGGACACGGACUACCAAGGCACCUUUAAACUGCAAGAUGACACAACAAAGACAGGUUGCCGCUGUCCCCACUACGGGACACGGACUACCAAGGCACCUUUAAACUGCAAGAUGACACAACAAAGACAGGUUGCCGCUGUCCCCACUACGGGACACGGACUACCAAACCACUGAUACCAAGCUCCGCAGAGCUGUCACAACUUUUACAAACAAACCCAAGAGGCGUAUGUUGUGCACGAGACGUCUCUCAGUGUCUUACCAACCGCCUAUACCAAGUCCACGAUGCACAGAGUGAAGAAAUGUCCAACAGCAGCUCCAUCAGCCACUUCCUCCUGCUGCCAUUGGCAGACACACGGCAGCUGCAGCUCCUGCACUUCUGCCUCUUCCUGGGCAUCUCCCUGGCUGCCCUCCUGGCCAACGGCCUCAUCAUCAGCACCGUAGCCUGUGGCCACCUCCUGCACACGCCCAUGUUCUUCUUCCUGCUCAACCUGGCCCUCACCGACCUGGGCUCCAUCUGCACCACUGUCCCCAAAGCCAUGCACAAUUCCCUCUGGGACACCACGACCAUCUCCUAUGAAGGAUGUGCUGCACAGCUAUUUCUGAUUGUAUUUUUCAUUUCAGCAGGGUAUUUUCUUCUCACUGUGAUGUGCUAUGACCACUACGUGUCCAUCUGCAAACCCCUGCCUACGGGACCCUCCUGGGCAGCAGAGCUUGUGCCCACAUGGCAGCAGCUGCCUGGGCCAGUGCCUUUCUCAAUGCUCUGCUGCACACAGCCAAUACAUUUUCCCUGCCCUUGUGCCAGGGCAAUGCUCUGGGCCAGUUCUUCUGUGAAAUCCCACACAUCCUCAAGCUCUCCUGCUCCAAAUCCUACCUCAGGAACUUGGGCUUCUUGCUGUUGGUGCCUGUUUAACUUUUGGCCAUUUUGUUUUCUCCUAUGUGCAGAUCUUCAGGGCCGUGCUGAGGAUCCCCUGAGCAGGGACGGCAUAAAGCCUUUUCCACCUGCCUCCCUCACCUGGCUGUGGUCUCCCUGUUUAUCAGAACUGCAGCCUUUACCUACCUGAAGCCUCCCUCCAUUUCCUCCCCAUCCCUGGAUCUGUCACUUUCAGUUCUGUUUCUCGG
Hirundo rustica (Barn swallow) is the source of this 1330-nucleotide RNA transcript. It is a transcript of the gene named putative olfactory receptor 10D4, with no coding region annotated. Lineage: Eukaryota; Metazoa; Chordata; Aves; Passeriformes; Hirundinidae. The record is from RefSeq and is a predicted model, not a curated record. The transcript is spliced from 2 exons.